UGGCGAACGGGUGAGUAACACGUGGGCAACCUGCCCAAAAGAGGGGGAUAACACUUGGAAACAGGUGCUAAUACCGCAUAACCAUAGUUACCGCAUGGUAACUAUGUAAAAGGUGGCUAUACUACCGCUUUUGGAUGGGCCCGCGGCGCAUUAGCUAGUUGGUAGGGUAAAGGCUUACCAAGGCAAUGAUGCAUAGCCGAAUUGAGAGGUUGAUCGGCCACAUUGGGACUGAGACACGGCCCAAACUCCUACGGAAGGCAGCAG
Molecule: ribosomal RNA, 264 nt
Filed under: uncultured bacterium
Lineage: Bacteria
Description: partial 16S ribosomal RNA
Rfam family: Bacterial small subunit ribosomal RNA
Source: RNAcentral